CAGGGAGACAACAAAAUGUUUAAUAUUAUUAUUUUGUCACCUUAGGUCGAUCGGUAUCUCACGUUCUUAAAUUUAUUAAGAAUUUCAUUUCCUAAGUUUUUCUAGGUCACACCCAUUAUUUUUCCUGGGCCAUUAGCUCAGGUGGUUAGAGCGCACCCCUGAUAAGGGUGAGGUCCCUGGUUCAAGUCCAGGAUGGCCCAUAUCUCUAUGUUGGGGGUAUAGCUCAGUUGGUAGAGCGCCUGCUUUGCAAGCAGGAUGUCAGCGGUUCGAGUCCGCUUACCUCCACUGAUUACCACCUCUUCCAUAACCGGUAGUAAAGGAAAUGUUUUGAGUUGUGAUCAAAUUCUGAAAGAAUCUAGCUUCCUAAUGAAAUCAUUAAGAUGCUGGAUUCAUUGAAUUAAUUUCAUUGUUUUCAGAGAACCUUGACAACUGCAUAGAUUAUUUUUAAAGACAAUAAGCAUCUUUAAUGAUGCAGAUUUAUUAUUUGUGCGAAUGCAUUAAUAACAAUUCUAUUAAGCUGAUGCUUCAAUUUUUGAAGUUAUU
RNAcentral lists this transfer RNA (543 nucleotides) under uncultured Prochlorococcus sp. Its description in RNAcentral is "partial 16S-23S ribosomal RNA intergenic spacer". The stretch from base 213 to 285 matches the Rfam family "tRNA". Lineage: Bacteria; Bacillati; Cyanobacteriota; Cyanophyceae; Synechococcales; Prochlorococcaceae. The record is from RNAcentral.